AUCUAACCCUGAAAAUAAACUGGCCACAGUUUAUGAUUAGUAACAGCUACCAGCACCUAUGAAAGCGUUUAUCAUAAACCACCGUGCUGUGCGAUCAUUUUGUUUACGUUAUUUGGCUUCAUCUCUUGACAACCCUGAGUUCAGUUUUUAUCUGAUUAGCCCGUUUUAAACAGAAGGAACCCAAUGCUGGGCGACAGUUGACCGAGGUCACACAGCUGGAAGCAGGGACCAUGGAAUCGCCACCCACAGCUGUCCAUCCAGGAAAACACUGCAUGGAGAAACGGGGUGGCAGGGAAAAGCAUCUCACUCUGAAUCACUCGGGCCUGGGCCAGUCCUAAGCCAGAUUGCAGCACCCCUUUUUGGUAGCUCAAGAAGAUGCUUGCCUUGUUAAGCCCUGCCCGGCUGUGCCACCUCCUGGUUUCCUAUCGCAGGGGAAGGACUACUGAGUGUCUAAUGUCUUAUUUGGGUUCCCCCAGCAGUGAACCCUAAGGUAAGAUCUAGGGAGGCAACAGCAGCCUGGAAAGGAAGAGAGAAUUCAACUCCUAAGCACCCCACAGGACAGAAGUUUGAGGACAGCACAGAUGGUUUGGCCAGGCCCGUGGAUUGUGGAGAAAUGAGCACUCGGGGACAGCCAGGAGGCAGAGGCAAGCGGAGGUCACGAUGUCAGCUUGCAGGGAGAAGGGUGAGGGAUGAGUUAAUAUCUUUCCUUUGUACAUUUCUUUAUUGUUUGAAUUUGAUAACGGUCAUAUUUA
Molecule: long non-coding RNA, 752 nt
Organism: Balaenoptera ricei (Rice's whale)
Lineage: Eukaryota; Metazoa; Chordata; Mammalia; Artiodactyla; Balaenopteridae
Exons: 4
Source: RefSeq, a predicted model, not a curated record